GAUGAACGCUGGCGGCGUGCCUAAUACAUGCAAGUCGAGCGAACGGACGAGAAGCUUGCUUUUCUGAUGUUAGCGGCGGACGGGUGAGUAACACGUGGAUAACCUACCUAUAAGACUGGGAUAACUUCGGGAAACCGGAGCUAAUACCGGAUAAUAUUUUGAACCGCAUGGUUCAUAAGUGAAAGACGGUCUUGCUGUCACUUAUAGAUGGAUCCGCGCUGCAUUAGCUAGUUGGUAAGGUAACGGCUUACCAAGGCAACGAUGCAUAGCCGACCUGAGAGGGUGUUCGGCCACACUGGAACUGAGACACGGUCCAGACUCCUACGGGAGGCAGCAGUAGGGAAUCUUCCGCAAUGGGCGAAAGCCUGACGGAGCAACGCCGCGUGAGUGAUGAAGGUCUUCGGAUCGUAAAACUCUGUUAUUAGGGAAGAACAUAUGUGUAAGUAACUGUGCACAUCUUGACGGUACCUAAUCAGAAAGCCACGGCUAACUACGUG
RNAcentral lists this ribosomal RNA (497 nucleotides) under uncultured bacterium. RNAcentral's name for it is "partial 16S ribosomal RNA". It matches the Rfam family "Bacterial small subunit ribosomal RNA", at positions 28 to 507 of the family's 1533-position model. The record is from RNAcentral.